AGUGAACGCUGGCGGUAGGCCUAACACAUGCAAGUCGAACGGCAGCACAGUAAGAGCUUGCUCUUACGGGUGUCGAGUGGCGGACGGGUGAGGAAUACAUCGGAAUCUACUUUUUCGUGGGGGAUAACGUAGGGAAACUUACGCUAAUACCGCAUACGACCUACGGGUGAAAGCAGGGGAUCUUCGGACCUUGCGCGAUUGAAUGAGCCGAUGUCGGAUUAGCUAGUUGGCGGGGUAAAGGCCCACCAAGGCGACGAUCCGUAGCUGGUCUGAGAGGAUGAUCAGCCACACUGGAACUGAGACACGGUCCCGACUCCUACGGGAGGCAGCAGUGGGGAAUAUUGGACAAUGGGCGCAAGCCUGAUCCAGCCAUACCGCGUGGGUGAAGAAGGACUUCGGGUUGUAAAGCCAUUUUGUUGGGAAAGAAAAGCAGCAGGUUAAUACCCCGCUGUUCUGACGGUACCCAAAGAAUAAGCACCGGCUAACUUCGUG
RNAcentral lists this ribosomal RNA (492 nucleotides) under uncultured bacterium. RNAcentral describes it as "partial 16S ribosomal RNA". It matches the Rfam family "Bacterial small subunit ribosomal RNA", at positions 29 to 507 of the family's 1533-position model. The record is from RNAcentral.